This 253-nucleotide ribosomal RNA is filed under the name uncultured bacterium. RNAcentral's name for it is "partial 16S ribosomal RNA". It matches the Rfam family "Bacterial small subunit ribosomal RNA", at positions 524 to 776 of the family's 1533-position model. The record is from RNAcentral.
UACGGAGGGGGCUAGCGUUAUUCGGAAUUAUUGGGCGUAAAGGGCGUGUAGGCGGCUUCGUAAGUCUUGUGUGAAAGCCCUCGGCUCAACCGAGGAACUGCAUGAGAAACUGCGAAGCUCGAGUCCGGGAGAGGAUAGUGGAAUUCCCAGUGUAGCGGUGAAAUGCGUAGAUAUUGGGAGGAACACCGGUGGCGAAGGCGGCUAUCUGGACCGGUACUGACGCUGAGACGCGAAAGCCAGGGGAGCAAACGGG